GCCCGGGUGGUGGAAUUGGCAGACACGCCAGGCUUAGGACCUGGUGCUGCAAGGCAUGGGGGUUCGAAUCCCCCCCCGGGCA
This 82-nucleotide transfer RNA is filed under the name Puniceicoccales bacterium. Its description in RNAcentral is "tRNA-Leu". It matches the Rfam family "tRNA". Rfam says of the family: Transfer RNA (tRNA) molecules are approximately 80 nucleotides in length. Their secondary structure includes four short double-helical elements and three loops (D, anti-codon, and T loops). Further hydrogen bonds mediate the characteristic L-shaped molecular structure. tRNAs have two regions of fundamental functional importance: the anti-codon, which is responsible for specific mRNA codon recognition, and the 3' end, to which the tRNAs corresponding amino acid is attached (by aminoacyl-tRNA synthetases). tRNAs cope with the degeneracy of the genetic code in two manners: having more than one tRNA (with a specific anti-codon) for a particular amino acid; and 'wobble' base-pairing, i.e. permitting non-standard base-pairing at the 3rd anti-codon position. Lineage: Bacteria; Pseudomonadati; Verrucomicrobiota; Opitutia; Puniceicoccales. The record is from RNAcentral.